This 301-nucleotide ribosomal RNA is filed under the name uncultured bacterium. RNAcentral describes it as "partial 16S ribosomal RNA". It matches the Rfam family "Bacterial small subunit ribosomal RNA", at positions 509 to 807 of the family's 1533-position model. The record is from RNAcentral.
CAGCAGCCGCGGGAAUACGUAGGUGGCAAGCGUUGUCCGGAAUUAUUGGGCGUAAAGGGCUCGCAGGCGGUUUCUUAAGUCUGAUGUGAAAGCCCCCGGCUCAACCGGGGAGGGUCAUUGGAAACUGGGAAACUUGAGUGCAGAAGAGGAGAGUGGAAUUCCACGUGUAGCGGUGAAAUGCGUAGAGAUGUGGAGGAACACCAGUGGCGAAGGCGACUCUCUGGUCUGUAACUGACGCUGAGGAGCGAAAGCGUGGGGAGCGAACAGGAUUAGAUACCCCCGUAGUCCCUGUCUCUUAUAC